Molecule: ribosomal RNA, 253 nt
Filed under: uncultured bacterium
Lineage: Bacteria
Description: partial 16S ribosomal RNA
Rfam family: Bacterial small subunit ribosomal RNA
Source: RNAcentral
UACGGAGGGAGCUAGCGUUGUUCGGAAUUACUGGGCGUAAAGCGUACGUAGGCGGUUAUUCAAGUCAGAGGUGAAAGCCCGGGGCUCAACCCCGGAACUGCCUUUGAAACUAGAUAGCUAGAAUCUUGGAGAGGUCAGUGGAAUUCCGAGUGUAGAGGUGAAAUUCGUAGAUAUUCGGAAGAACACCAGUGGCGAAGGCGGCUGACUGGUCCGGUUCUGACGCUGAGGCGCGAAAGCGUGGGGAGCAAACAGG